This 505-nucleotide ribosomal RNA is filed under the name uncultured bacterium. Its description in RNAcentral is "SSU rRNA". It matches the Rfam family "Bacterial small subunit ribosomal RNA", at positions 26 to 518 of the family's 1533-position model. The record is from RNAcentral.
AGGACGAACGCUGGCGGCGCGCUUAACACAUGCAAGUCGAGCGAGAACCAGGCCUUCGGGCCUGGGGAAAGCGGCGAACGGGUGAGUAACACGUGGGUAACCCACCCUUGGUACCGGGAUAGCCCGAGGAAACUCGGAUUAAUACCGGAUGGCCCAACAGCUCUUCGGGGCGGUUGGAAAAGGUAGCUUCGGCCUCCGACCAAGGACGGGCCCGCGGCGGAUUAGCUUGUUGGUGAGGUAACGGCUCACCAAGGCGACGAUCCGUAGCUGGUCUGAGAGGACGAUCAGCCACACUGGGACUGAGACACGGCCCAGACUCCUACGGGAGGCAGCAGUGGGGAAUCUUGCGCAAUGGGCGAAAGCCUGACGCAGCGACGCCGCGUGGGGGAAGAAGGCUUUCGGGUUGUAAACCCCUUUCGAGGAAGGACGAAGCCACUCGGGUUAAUAGCCCAGAGGGUGACGGUACUUCCAGAAGAGCCCCGGCUAACUACGCGCCAGCAGCCGC